RNAcentral lists this non-coding RNA (702 nucleotides) under Tumebacillus flagellatus. Its description in RNAcentral is "Bacterial large subunit ribosomal RNA". It matches the Rfam family "Bacterial large subunit ribosomal RNA", at positions 2170 to 2867 of the family's 2925-position model. Lineage: Bacteria; Bacillati; Bacillota; Bacilli; Caryophanales; Alicyclobacillaceae. The record is from Rfam by way of RNAcentral.
GCCAGCCUCGGUGGAGUCGACGUUGGGAUACCACCCUUGAGGUAUUGAUCUUCUAACUUGGCACCCUGAAGCGGGUGUAAGGACAGUGUCAGGCGGGCAGUUUGACUGGGGCGGUCGCCUCCUAAAAAGUAACGGAGGCGCCCAAGGGUUCCCUCAGCGCGGUUGGAAAUCGCGCUCCGAGUGCAAUGGCAUAAGGGAGCUUGACUGCGAGACCUACAAGUCGAGCAGGGACGAAAGUCGGGCAUAGUGAUCCGGUGGUUCCGAGUGGAAGGGCCAUCGCUCAACGGAUAAAAGCUACCCUGGGGAUAACAGGCUUAUCUCCCCCAAGAGUCCACAUCGACGGGGAGGUUUGGCACCUCGAUGUCGGCUCAUCGCAUCCUGGGGCUGUAGUCGGUCCCAAGGGUUGGGCUGUUCGCCCAUUAAAGCGGUACGCGAGCUGGGUUCAGAACGUCGUGAGACAGUUCGGUCCCUAUCUGCCGUGGGCGCAGGAAGUUUGAGAGGAGUUGUCCUUAGUACGAGAGGACCGGGAUGAACCGACCGCUGGUGUCCCAGUUGUGGUGCCAACCGCAUCGCUGGGUAGCUAUGUCGGGAAGGGAUAAGCGCUGAAAGCAUCUAAGCGCGAAGCCCCCCUUCAAGAAAGACUUCCCACAUGGUCAACAUGGUAAGACCCCCAGUAGACGACUGGGUUGGAUAGGCUGGAGG